Long non-coding RNA from Mytilus californianus (California mussel), 786 nucleotides. RefSeq lists it as uncharacterized. Lineage: Eukaryota; Metazoa; Mollusca; Bivalvia; Mytilida; Mytilidae. The transcript is spliced from 3 exons. The record is from RefSeq and is a predicted model, not a curated record.
CUUUAUUGAUCUCCAAAGAAAGAUGAAUAAAAGGAAAAUUACUCUACAUAUCAUUAAAACGUUCUAAAAGGACCGAGAAAAAUAUAACAGAAAGCAUGGACAGAGAAGACCGUCGUCGCUACUUUAUAGUAGGAUCUGUCAUACUGGAGAUAGUCACUCCACUGUUCUGGAAGAAGAUUGAAAAUGAUUAUACAAAUUCUGGAUUAGCAUCCCUGCAAGAUUUUUUAAAUAAACAAUCAACAAUUCACAUCCUCUUCCACCUUCGACACAGAAAUACCUGGUGCUGUAAAGACAAGACAAACUGUUCCAAUAAUGGAGCACUUCCACUCAAUUACUGCCAAUGGGAUCUGUUAUAUACAGAAAUUAAUCCUGGUAUCAAUCCACACGGCUGUCACUGUAAGUUUUCCGCCAAUCCUGUUCAACUAGAUAAUCUCGAUAUCACAUUAGGUAGCCUGAUUCUACUUAACUGUUGCAACCUUACACCUGAUGAAAAAGUUGCCAUCAAAAAGUUACGACAAUACAAGAAUGACUACCUGAGUCAUAAUAUAAAAGGAGCAAUAAUCAAAAGAGAGUACAAAACAUUGUGGGCAGAUCUGACAAACUUUAUCUUACAACUUGACUCGAGUAAGCAAGAUGACAUGACCAUAAUAGAAGCAAGACCACUGGAUGAAGCUUUAUGCAGAAGAUAUUGUUUAAGUCUCCUUGACCUCCACAAAAGACUUGACGAGAUUGACGAUACAAUCAAGACCAUGAAUAAUUCAGUACAGGGUACCCUCCAUAAUAUGG